Molecule: ribosomal RNA, 818 nt
Filed under: uncultured bacterium
Lineage: Bacteria
Description: bacterial SSU rRNA
Rfam family: Bacterial small subunit ribosomal RNA
Source: RNAcentral
CACGGGAGCUUGCUCCUGGUGGCGAGUGGCGAACGGGUGAGUAAUGCAUCGGAACGUGCCCUGAAGUGGGGGAUAACGUAGCGAAAGUUACGCUAAUACCGCAUAUUCUGUGAGCAGGAAAGCAGGGGAUCUUCGGACCUUGCGCUUUUGGAGCGGCCGAUGUCGGAUUAGCUAGUUGGUGGGGUAAAGGCCCACCAAGGCGACGAUCCGUAGCGGGUCUGAGAGGAUGAUCCGCCACACUGGAACUGAGACACGGUCCAGACUCCUACGGGAGGCAGCAGUGGGGAAUUUUGGACAAUGGGCGCAAGCCUGAUCCAGCCAUGCCGCGUGAGUGAAGAAGGCCUUCGGGUUGUAAAGCUCUUUCGGUGGGGAAGAAAUUGCUUGGGUUAAUACCCUGAGUAGAUGACGGUACCCGCAUAAGAAGCACCGGCUAACUACGUGCCAGCAGCCGCGGUAAUACGUAGGGUGCGAGCGUUAAUCGGAAUUACUGGGCGUAAAGCGUGCGCAGGCGGUUUUGUAAGUCAGAUGUGAAAUCCCCGGGCUCAACCUGGGAACUGCAUUUGAGACUGCAAGGCUAGAGUGUGGCAGAGGGGGGUAGAAUUCCACGUGUAGCAGUGAAAUGCGUAGAGAUGUGGAGGAAUACCGAUGGCGAAGGCAGCCCCCUGGGUCACUACUGACGCUCAUGCACGAAAGCGUGGGGAGCAAACAGGAUUAGAUACCCUGGUAGUCCACGCCCUAAACGAUGUCAACUAGGUGUUGGGAGGGUUAAACCUUUUAGUGCCGUAGCUAACGCGUGAAGUUGACCGCCUGGGGAGUAC